AAUCCUCUGUUCAAGAGCGUACCUUGAGCAUACAUGCUGUGACCCGAAAGAUGGUGAACUAUACCUGAUCAGAUCGAAGCCAGGAGAAAUUCUGGUGGAGGAUCGAAACAGUUCUGACGUGCAAAUCGAUUGUCAGAAUUGGGUAUAGGGGCGAAAGACCAAUCGAACCAUCUAGUAGCUGGUUUCCUCCGAAGUUUCCCUCAGGAUAGCAGGCGCUUUUCGGUUCAGUCUCAUCCGGUAAAGCUAAUGAUUAGAGGUCUUG
RNAcentral lists this ribosomal RNA (262 nucleotides) under Thalassiosira minuscula. Its description in RNAcentral is "partial Eukaryotic large subunit ribosomal RNA". It matches the Rfam family "Eukaryotic large subunit ribosomal RNA", at positions 773 to 1032 of the family's 3401-position model. The record is from RNAcentral. Lineage: Eukaryota; Bacillariophyta; Thalassiosirophyceae; Thalassiosirales; Thalassiosiraceae.